Molecule: small nucleolar RNA, 111 nt
Filed under: Oryza sativa (Asian cultivated rice)
Lineage: Eukaryota; Viridiplantae; Streptophyta; Magnoliopsida; Poales; Poaceae
Description: box C/D snoRNA J30.1
Source: RNAcentral
CGCGCGCCGAUCUGCUCUUCGCGGGGCUCCACCUGCUCGUGUGGGGGGAGGCCGCCAAUCUCCGCUUCGUCCCGGAGUGCCUCUGCUACAUCUACCACCACAUGGCGCUCG